RNAcentral lists this ribosomal RNA (468 nucleotides) under uncultured bacterium. Its description in RNAcentral is "partial 16S ribosomal RNA". It matches the Rfam family "Bacterial small subunit ribosomal RNA", at positions 28 to 507 of the family's 1533-position model. The record is from RNAcentral.
GACGAACGCUGGCGGCGUGCUUAACACAUGCCAGUCGAACGGAAAGGCCCUGCUUUUGUGGGGUGCUCGAGUGGCGAACGGGUGAGUAACACGUGAGUAACCUGCCCUUGACUUUGGGAUAACUUCAGGAAACUGGGGCUAAUACCGGAUAGGAGCUCCUGCUGCAUGGUGGGGGUUGGAAAGUUUCGGCGGUUGGGGAUGGACUCGCGGCUUAUCAGCUUGUUGGGGGGGUAGUGGCUUACCAAGGCUUUGACGGGUAGCCGGCCUGAGAGGGUGACCGGCCACAUUGGGACUGAGAUACGGCCCAGACUCCUACGGGAGGCAGCAGUGGGGAAUAUUGCACAAUGGGCGGAAGCCUGAUGCAGCAACGCCGCGUGCGGGAUGACGGCCUUCGGGUUGUAAACCGCUUUCGCCUGUGACGAAGCGUGAGUGACGGUAAUGGGUAAAGAAGCACCGGCUAACUACGUG